CCAGCUUCCUUUGCCAUAAUGGCUUAGAUCAAGUGUAGUAUCUGUUCUUUUCAGUUUAAUCUCUGAAAUUGUCCGUACUGGACAAAAUACGAUUAAACCCAAUUUUUACAACGCGAUCCCGGGACGCGCUGGGGGCUUGCUCCCAGGUGGUCCUGGGAUACCGUGUCUCUGGUAUCACACUGCUUCCAGAUGAUGCGAACCGGC
Molecule: small nuclear RNA, 204 nt
Filed under: Pseudogymnoascus sp. 05NY08
Lineage: Eukaryota; Fungi; Ascomycota; Leotiomycetes; Thelebolales; Thelebolaceae
Description: U2 spliceosomal RNA
Rfam family: U2 spliceosomal RNA
About the family: U2 is a small nuclear RNA (snRNA) component of the spliceosome (involved in pre-mRNA splicing). Complementary binding between U2 snRNA (in an area lying towards the 5' end but 3' to hairpin I) and the branchpoint sequence (BPS) of the intron results the bulging out of an unpaired adenosine, on the BPS, which initiates a nucleophilic attack at the intronic 5' splice site, thus starting the first of two transesterification reactions that mediate splicing.
Source: Rfam by way of RNAcentral